GCUGGCGGCGUGCCUAAUACAUGCAAGUCGAACGAACUCUGGUAUUGAUUGGUGCUUGCAUCAUGAUUUACAUUUGAGUGAGUGGCGAACUGGUGAGUAACACGUGGGAAACCUGCCCAGAAGCGGGGGAUAACACCUGGAAACAGAUGCUAAUACCGCAUAACAACUUGGACCGCAUGGUCCGAGCUUGAAAGAUGGCUUCGGCUAUCACUUUUGGAUGGUCCCGCGGCGUAUUAGCUAGAUGGUGGGGUAACGGCUCACCAUGGCAAUGAUACGUAGCCGACCUGAGAGGGUAAUCGGCCACAUUGGGACUGAGACACGGCCCAAACUCCUACGGGAGGCAGCAGUAGGGAAUCUUCCACAAUGGACGAAAGUCUGAUGGAGCAACGCCGCGUGAGUGAAGAAGGGUUUCGGCUCGUAAAACUCUGUUGUUAAAGAAGAACAUAUCUGAGAGUAACUGUUCAGGUAUUGACGGUAUUUAACCAGAAAGCCACGGCUAACUACGUGCCAGCAGCCGCGGUAAUACGUAGGUGGCAAGCGUUGUCCGGAUUUAUUGGGCGUAAAGCGAGCGCAGGCGGUUUUUUAAGUCUGAUGUGAAAGCCUUCGGCUCAACCGAAGAAGUGCAUCGGAAACUGGGAAACUUGAGUGCAGAAGAGGACAGUGGAACUCCAUGUGUAGCGGUGAAAUGCGUAGAUAUAUGGAAGAACACCAGUGGCGAAGGCGGCUGUCUGGUCUGUAACUGACGCUGAGGCUCGAAAGUAUGGGUAGCAAACAGGAUUAGAUACCCUGGUAGUCCAUACCGUAAACGAUGAAUGCUAAGUGUUGGAGGGUUUCCGCCCUUCAGUGCUGCAGCUAACGCAUUAAGCAUUCCGCCUGGGGAGUACGGCCGCAAGGCUGAAACUCAAAGGAAUUGACGGGGGCCCGCACAAGCGGUGGAGCAUGUGGUUUAAUUCGAAGCUACGCGAAGAACCUUACCAGGUCUUGACAUACUAUGCAAAUCUAAGAGAUUAGACGUUCCCUUCGGGGACAUGGAUACAGGUGGUGCAUGGUUGUCGUCAGCUCGUGUCGUGAGAUGUUGGGUUAAGUCCCGCAACGAGCGCAACCCUUAUUAUCAGUUGCCAGCAUUAAGUUGGGCACUCUGGUGAGACUGCCGGUGACAAACCGGAGGAAGGUGGGGAUGACGUCAAAUCAUCAUGCCCCUUAUGACCUGGGCUACACACGUGCUACAAUGGAUGGUACAACGAGUUGCGAACUCGCGAGAGUAAGCUAAUCUCUUAAAGCCAUUCUCAGUUCGGAUUGUAGGCUGCAACUCGCCUACAUGAAGUCGGAAUCGCUAGUAAUCGCGGAUCAGCAUGCCGCGGUGAAUACGUUCCCGGGCCUUGUACACACCGCCCGUCACACCAUGAGAGUUUGUAACACCCAAAGUCGGUGGGGUAACCUUUUAGGAACCAGCCGCCUAAGGUGGGACAGAUGA
Molecule: ribosomal RNA, 1474 nt
Filed under: Lactiplantibacillus plantarum
Lineage: Bacteria; Bacillati; Bacillota; Bacilli; Lactobacillales; Lactobacillaceae
Description: bacterial SSU rRNA
Rfam family: Bacterial small subunit ribosomal RNA
Source: RNAcentral